RNAcentral lists this long non-coding RNA (928 nucleotides) under Monodelphis domestica (gray short-tailed opossum). Its description in RNAcentral is "lncRNA (ENSMODG00000046963.1)". The record is from RNAcentral. Lineage: Eukaryota; Metazoa; Chordata; Mammalia; Didelphimorphia; Didelphidae.
UCCGGACGAGAUGAGCAGGGAGGGCAUUGUCAGGAUAGAGGCAGCCUGGACAAAGACAUGGGAGGUGGGAGAUGGAAUAUGGAAUACAUUUUAUGCAUCAUUUUCUUUUUUUAAAGCCCUUAUCUUCAAUACUGUGUAUUGAUUCCAAGGCAGAAAGGGCUCGGCAUUGGGGGUUAGGUGACUUGUUCAGGGUCACCCAGCUAGGAAGUAUCUACGGUCAAAAUAAUAAUUUUUUAAAACUCUUCCAUUUUAGAAUCAAUACUAUGUAUUUGUUCCAAGGGGGAAGAUCCAUAAGGGCUAGGCAAUGGGCCGUAGACAACCAGGACAUAUCUGAAGCCAGAUUUAAAUGCAGAGACAAGAGGUCCUGGGUCUCCGUCCACUGAGCCACCACGCUGCCCCCUUCUUUACUCAUCAUUGCUUCCAUCUUGUUCUGAAGUGCUGGCUCCGAGGUAAAGCCUGGCCUGUGCCUCCAGCAGGACGGAGGGAGAGGACCCGAUGAGUUCCAGCAGGGAAGAUGCAGACCCCAGAGACGCGGGGCUUCCGCUCUCUCACACUCGGAGCAGAGCUUGGCCAAACGCCCAAACCUGGUGUCCUGGGUCGGCGUCCUCCCGGCCAGCCCACGAGGUGUCCGACAAGGAUGUGUACAUUUUCUCAUGGAAGGCAUUCCAGUGCGGGAUGUGACGUCACUGCUGAGUGGCAGAUGCUUUCCUGGGAAAAAAUGUUCCUGCUUGCAGAUCUGCGAGACACAGAGGAAAGCAGGAGUCAGAGCCUUCUUUGUUCCAAUAGGCCGUCUGGGGUGCGAGGAGGAUUGGGGGAUUUCUGGAGCAGAAUUCUGCUGUGGGGGCGAGAGAAGAUGCGAUUAUUAGACGCUCAUUUGACAGAUGAGAAAAAUGGAGGCCAACAGGAUGAAGUGACACACAGCAAAUAA